RNAcentral lists this transfer RNA (67 nucleotides) under Candidatus Moranbacteria bacterium CG_4_9_14_3_um_filter_36_9. Its description in RNAcentral is "tRNA-Met". It matches the Rfam family "tRNA". Rfam says of the family: Transfer RNA (tRNA) molecules are approximately 80 nucleotides in length. Their secondary structure includes four short double-helical elements and three loops (D, anti-codon, and T loops). Lineage: Bacteria; Candidatus Moraniibacteriota. The record is from RNAcentral.
CGGGGUGGAGCAGUGGCAGCUCACGUGGCUCAUAACCACGAGGUCGUAGGUUCGAAUCCUACCCCCG